RNAcentral lists this transfer-messenger RNA (125 nucleotides) under Burkholderiales bacterium. RNAcentral describes it as "partial transfer-messenger RNA". It matches the Rfam family "transfer-messenger RNA", at positions 236 to 374 of the family's 374-position model. From Rfam's summary of the family: Bacterial tmRNA, also known as 10Sa RNA or SsrA, is named for its dual tRNA and mRNA-like properties. Its role is to liberate the mRNA from a stalled ribosome. The record is from RNAcentral. Lineage: Bacteria; Pseudomonadati; Pseudomonadota; Betaproteobacteria; Burkholderiales.
GCGAAUCGCCUGCAACCAGCCUGUCCGUCGGCGUGUUGCGGGUCAAAUCAAAUGACGCGGCUAAGUAUGUAGAACUGUAUGUGGCGCACUUGUGGACGCGGGUUCAAUUCCCGCCGCCUCCACCA